CGUAGGGUGCGAGCGUUAAUCGGAAGUUACUGGGCGCAAGCGUGCGCAGGCGGUUAUAUAAGACAGAUGUGAAAUCCCCGGGCUCAACCUGGGAACUGCAUUUGUGACUGUAUAGCUAGAGUACGGCAGGGGGGGAUGGAAUUCCGCGUGUAGCAGUGAAAUGCGUAGAUAUGCGGAGGAACACCGAUGGCGAAGGCAAUCCCCUGGGCCUGUACUGACGCUCACGCACGAAAGCGUGGGGAGCAAACAGGAUUAGAUACCCUGGUAGUCCACGCCCUAAACGAUGUCAACUGGUUGUUGGGUCUUCACUGACUCAGUAACGAAGCUAACGCGUGAAGUUGACCGCCUGGGGAGUACGGCCGCAAGGUUG
This 370-nucleotide ribosomal RNA is filed under the name uncultured organism. RNAcentral's name for it is "bacterial SSU rRNA". It matches the Rfam family "Bacterial small subunit ribosomal RNA", at positions 526 to 896 of the family's 1533-position model. The record is from RNAcentral.